RNAcentral lists this transfer RNA (76 nucleotides) under Syntrophobacter sp. Its description in RNAcentral is "tRNA-Lys". It matches the Rfam family "tRNA". From Rfam's summary of the family: Transfer RNA (tRNA) molecules are approximately 80 nucleotides in length. Their secondary structure includes four short double-helical elements and three loops (D, anti-codon, and T loops). RNAcentral also lists the same sequence under 1 other name. The record is from RNAcentral. Lineage: Bacteria; Pseudomonadati; Thermodesulfobacteriota; Syntrophobacteria; Syntrophobacterales; Syntrophobacteraceae.
GGGCCGUUAGCUCAAUAGGUAGAGCAGCUGACUCUUAAUCAGGAGGUUUGGGGUUCGAUUCCCUAACGGCCCACCA